RNAcentral lists this ribosomal RNA (420 nucleotides) under uncultured bacterium. RNAcentral's name for it is "bacterial SSU rRNA". It matches the Rfam family "Bacterial small subunit ribosomal RNA", at positions 28 to 424 of the family's 1533-position model. The record is from RNAcentral.
GACGAACGCUGGCGGCGUGCUUAACACAUGCAAGUCGAACGAAAGGACGGGAAGAGCUUGCUCUUUCCGGAAUUGAGUGGCAAACGGGUGAGUAACACGUAAACAACCUGCCUUCAGGAUGGGGACAACAGACGGAAACGACUGCUAAUACCGAAUAAGUUCCAAGAGCCGCAUGGCCCAUGGAAGAAAAGGUGGCCUCUACCUGUAAGCUAUCGCCUGAAGAGGGGUUUGCGUCUGAUUAGCUGGUUGGAGGGGUAACGGGCCCACCAAGGCGACGAUCAGUAGCCGGUCUGAGAGGAUGAACGGCCACACUGGAACUGAGACACGGUCCAGACUCCUACGGGAGGCAGCAGUGGGGAAUCUUCCGCAAUGGCGAAAGCCUGACGGAGCAACGCCGCGUGAGUGAUGACGGCCUCGGUU